RNAcentral lists this long non-coding RNA (4187 nucleotides) under Citrus x clementina. Its description in RNAcentral is "Citrus clementina (C. clementina) long non-coding RNA (CCLE_LNC000031)". Lineage: Eukaryota; Viridiplantae; Streptophyta; Magnoliopsida; Sapindales; Rutaceae. The record is from RNAcentral.
CCAAAAAUCAGCCCCCGAAGGUCGGGGUCCCAAGACCCCCCAGCGGAAAAAUGGCCAAAAAAAGGGUGGGCUAUAGCCUUGGUGGGGGGCGUGGGCGAAGUUCGUCCGCGGGACUCGGAAUGGCCCCAGGCUUGGCGGGCGGCCUCCGUCUGCCAAAAAUAGGCCACGGGCACAGCCGCGCCCAAAAAUCAGCCCCCGAAGGUCGGGGUCCCAAGACCCCCCAGCGGAAAAAUGGCCAAAAAACGGGUGGGCUAUAGCCUUGGUGGGGGGUGUGGGCGAAGUUCGUCCGCGGGACUCGGAAUGGCACCAUACUUGGCGGGCGGCCUCCGUGUGCCAAAAAUAGGCCACGGGCCCAGCCGCGCCCAAAAACCAGCCCCCGAAGUUCGGGGUCCCAAGACCCCCCAGCGGAAAAAUGGCCAAAAAACGGGUGGGCUAUAGCCUUGGUGGGGGGCGUGGGCGAAGUUCGUCCGCGGGACUCGGAAUGGCACCAGACUUGGCGGGCGGCCUCCGUGUGCCAAAAAUAGGCCACGGGCACAGCCGCGCCCAAAAAACAGCCCCCGAAGUUCGGGGUCCCAAGACCCCCCAGCGGAAAAAUGGCCAAAAAACGGUGGGCUAUAGCCUUGGUGGGGGGCGUGGGCGAAGUUCGUCCGUGGGACUCGGAAUGGCACCAGACUUGGCGGGCGGCCUCCGUGUGCCAAAAGUAGGCCACGGGCACAGCCGCGCCCAAAAAACAGCCCCCGAAGUUCGGGGUCCCAAGACCCCCCAGCGGAAAAAUGGCCAAAAAACGGUGGGCUAUAGCCUUGGUGGGGGGCGUGGGCGAAGUUCGUCCGUGGGACUCGGAAUGGCACCAGACUUGGCGGGCGGCCUCCGUGUGCCAAAAAUAGGCCACGGGCACAGCCGCGCCCAAAAAACAGCCCCCGAAGUUCGGGGUCCCAAGACCCCCCAGCGGAAAAAUGGCCAAAAAACGGUGGGCUAAAGCCUUGGUGGGGUGCGUGGGUGAAGUUCGUCCGCGGGACUCGGAAUGGCACCAGACUUGGCGGGCGGCCUCCGUGUGCCAAAAAUAGGCCACGGGCACAGCCGCGCCCAAAAAACAGCCCCCGAAGUUCGGGGUCCCAAGACCCCCCAGCGGAAAAAUGGCCAAAAAACGGUGGGCUAUAGCCUUGGUGGGGUGCGUGGGCGAAGUUCGUCCGCGGGACUCGGAAUGGCACCAGACUUGGCGGGCGGCCUCCGUGUGCCAAAAAUAGGCCACGGGCACAGCCGCGCCCAAAAAACAGCCCCCGAAGUUCGGGGUCCCAAGACCCCCCAGCGGAAAAAUGGCCAAAAAACGGUGGGCUAUAGCCUUGGUGGGGGGCGUGGGCGAAGUUCGUCCGUGGGACUCGGAAUGGCACCAGACAUGGCGGGCGGCCUCCGUGUGCCAAAAAUAGGCCACGGGCACAGUCUCGCCCAAAAAACAGCCCCCGAAGUUCGGGGUCCCAAGACCCCCCAGCGGAAAAAUGGCCAAAAAACGGUGGGCUAUAGCCUUGGUGGGGGGCGUGGGCGAAGUUCAUCCGCGGGACUCAGAAUGGCACCAGACUUGGCGGGCGGCCUCCGUGUGCCAAAAAUAGGCCACGGGCACAGCCGCUCCCCAAAAACAGCCCCCGAAGUUUGGGGUCCCAAGACCCCCCUGCGGAAAAAUGGCCAAAAAACGGGUGGGCUAUAGCCUUGGUGGGGGGCGUGGGCGAAGUUCGUCCGCGGGACUCGGAAUGGCACCAGACUUGGCGGGCGGCCUCCGUGUGCCAAAAAUAGGCCACGGGCACAGCCGCGCCCAAAAAACAGCCCCCGAAGUUCGAGGUCCCAAGACCCCCCAGCGGAAAAAUGGCCAAAAAACGGGUGGGCUAUAUCCUUGGUGGGGGGAGUGGGCGAAGUUAUUCCGCGGGACUCGGAAUGGCACCAGACUUGGCGCGCGGCCUCCGUGUGCCAAAAAUAGGCCAUGGGCACAGCCGCGCCCAAAAAACAGCCCCCGAAGUUCGGGGUCCCAAGAAACCCCAGCGGAAAAAUGGCCAAAAAACGGUGGGCUAUAGCCUUGGUGGGGGGCGUGGUGCGAAGUUCGUCUGCGGGACUCGGAAUGGCACCAGACUUGGCGGGCGGCCUCCGNNNNNNNNNNNNNNNNNNNNNNNNNNNNNNNNNNNNNNNNNNNNNNNNNNNNNNNNNNNNNNNNNNNNNNNNNNNNNNNNNNNNNNNNNNNNNNNNNNNNNNNNNNNNNNNNNNNNNNNNNNNNNNNNNNNNNNNNNNNNNNNNNNNNNNNNNNNNNNNNNNNNNNNNNNNNNNNNNNNNNNNNNNNAAAAAUAGGCCACGGGCACAGCCGCGCCCAAAAAACAGCCCCCGAAGUUCGGGGUCCCAAGACCCCCCAGCGGAAAAAUGGCCAAAAAACGGGGGGGCUUUACCCUUGUUGGGGGGCGGGGGCAAAUUUGUUCCCGGGACUCGGAAUGGCACCAGACUUGGCGGGCGGCCUCCGUGUGCCAAAAAUAGGCCACGGGCACAGCCGCGCCCAAAAAACAGCCCCCGAAGUUCGGGGUCCCAAGACGCCCCAGCGGAAAAAUGGCCAAAAAAUGGGUGGGCUAUAGCCUUGGUGGGGGGCGUGGGCGAAGUUCGUCCGCGGGACUCGGAAUGGCACCAGACUUGGCGGGCGGCCUCCGUGUGCCAAAAAUAGGCCACGGGCAGAGCCGCGCCCAAAAAACAGCCCCCGGAAUUCGGGGUCCCAAGACGCCCCAGCGGAAAAAUGGCCAAACAACGGGUGGGCUAUAGCCUUGGUGGGGGGCGUGGGCGAAGUUCGUCCGCGGGACUCGGAAUGGCACCAGACUUGGCGGGCGGCCUCCGUGUGCCAAAAAUAGGCCACGGGCACAGCCGCGCCCAAAAAACAGCCCCCGGAAUUCGGGGUCCCAAGACGCCCCAGCGGAAAAAUGGCCAAACAACGGGUGGGCUAUAGCCUUGGUGGGGGGCGUGGGCGAAGUUCGUCCGCGGGACUCGGAAUGGCACCAGACUUGGCGGGCGGCCUCCGUUUGCCAAAAAUAGGCCACGGGCACAGCCGCGCCCAAAAAACAGCCCCCGAAGUUCGGGGUCCGAAGACCCCCCAGCGGAAAAAUGGCCAAAAAACGGGUGGGCUAUAGCCUUGGUGGGGGGCGUGGGCGAAGUUCGUCCGCGGGACUCGGAAUGGCACCAGACUUAGCGGGCGGCCUCCGUGUGCCAAAAAUAGGCCACGGGCACAGCCGCGCCCAAAAAACAGCCCCCGAAGUUCGGGUUCCCAAGACCCCCCAGCGGAAAAAUGGCCAAAAAACGGUGGGCUAUAGCCUUGGUGGGGGGCGUGGGUGAAGUUCGUCCGUGGGACUCAGAAUGGCACCAGACUUGGCGGGCGGCUUCCGUGUGCCAAAAAUAGGCCACGGGCACAGCCGCGCCCAAAAAACAACCCCCGAAGUUCGGGCUCCCAAGACCCCCCAGCGGAAAAAUGGCCAAAAAACGGUGGGCUAUAGCCUUGGUGGGGUGCGUGGGCGAAGUUCGUCCGCGGGACUCGGAAUGGCACCAGACUUGGCGGGCCGCCUCCGUGUGCCAAAAAUAGGCCACGGGCACAGCCGCGCCAAAAAAACAGCCCCCGAAGUUCGGGGUCCCAAGACCCCCCAGCGGAAAAAUGGCCAAAAAGCGGUGGGCUAUAGCCUUGGUGGGGGGCGUGGGCGAAGUUCGUCCGUGGGACUCGGAAUGGCACCAGACUUGGCGGGCGGCCUCCGUGUGCCAAAAAUAGGCCACGGGCACAGCCGCGCCAAAAAAACAGCCCCCGAAGUUCGGGGUCCCAAGACCCCCCAGCGGAAAAAUGGCCAAAAAACGGGUGGGCUAUAGCCUUGGUGGGGGGCGUGGGCGAAGUUCGUCCGCGGGACUCGGAAUGGCACCAGACUUGGCGGGCGGCCUCCGUGUGCCAAAAAUAGGCCACGGGCACAGCCGCGCCCAAAAAACAGCCCCCGAAGUUCGGGUUCCCAAGACCCCCCAGCGGAAAAAUGGCCAAAAAACGGUGGGCUAUAGCCUUGGUGGGGGGCGUGGGCGAAGUUCGUCCGCGGGACUCGGAAUGGCACCAGACUUGGCGGGCAGCCUCCGUGUGCCAAAAAUAGGCCACGGGCACAGCCGCGCCCAAAAAACAGCCCCCGAAGUUCGGGUCCCAAGAC